GUGCCAGCAGCCGCGGUAAUUCCAGCUCCAAUAGCGUAUAUUAAAGUUGUUGUGGUUAAAAAGCUCGUAGUUGAACCUUGGGCCUGGCUGGCCGGUCCGCCUCACCGCGUGCACUGGUCCGGCCGGGCCUUUCCCUCUGUGGAACCCCAUACCCUUCACUGGGCGUGGCGGGGAAACAGGACAUUUACUUUGAAAAAAUUAGAGUGCUCCAGGCAGGCCUAUGCUCGAAUACAUUAGCAUGGAAUAAUAAAAUAGGACGCGCGGUUCUAUUUUGUUGGUUUAUAGGACCGCCGUAAUGAUUAAUAGGGACAGUCGGGGCAUCAGUAUUCAACUGUCAGAGGUGAAAUUCUUGGAUCAGUUGAAGACUAACUACUGCGAAAGCAUUUGCCAAGGAUGUUUUCAUUAAUCAGGAACGAAAGUUAGGGGAUCGAAGACGAUCAGAUACCGUCGUAGUCUUAACCAUAAACUAUGCCGACUAGGGAUCGGACGGUGUUAUUCAUGACCCGUUCGGCACCUUACGAGAAAUCAAAGUGCUUGGGCUCCAGGGGGAGUAUGGUCGCAAGGCUGAAACUUAAAGAAAUUGACGGAAGGGCACCACCAGGGGUGGAGCCUGCGGCUUAAUUUGACUCAACACGGGGAAACUCACCAGGUCCAGACACAAUAAGGAUUGACAGAUUGAGAGCUCUUUUCUUGAUUUUGUGGGUGGUGUGCAUGCCGUUCUUAGUGGUGGGGUGACUUGUCUGCUAGUAGCGAUAACGACGAGAUCUUAACCUGCUAAAUAGCCCGCAGUGCUCCGGCAGUGCGCUGCUUCUU
RNAcentral lists this ribosomal RNA (813 nucleotides) under uncultured fungus. Its description in RNAcentral is "SSU rRNA". It matches the Rfam family "Eukaryotic small subunit ribosomal RNA", at positions 564 to 1412 of the family's 1831-position model. The record is from RNAcentral. Lineage: Eukaryota; Fungi.